RNAcentral lists this ribosomal RNA (468 nucleotides) under uncultured bacterium. RNAcentral describes it as "partial 16S ribosomal RNA". It matches the Rfam family "Bacterial small subunit ribosomal RNA", at positions 28 to 507 of the family's 1533-position model. The record is from RNAcentral.
GACGAACGCUGGCGGCGUGCUUAACACAUGCAAGUCGAGCGGAAAGGCCCUGCUUUUGUGGGGUGCUCGAGUGGCGAACGGGUGAGUAACACGUGAGUAACCUGCCCUUGACUUUGGGAUAACUUCAGGAAACUGGGGCUAAUACCGGAUAGGAGCUCCUGCUGCAUGGUGGGGGUUGGAAAGUUUCGGCGGUUGGGGAUGGACUCGCGGCUUAUCAGCUUGUUGGUGGGGUAGUGGCUUACCAAGGCUUUGACGGGUAGCCGGCCUGAGAGGGUGACCGGCCACAUUGGGACUGAGAUACGGCCCAGACUCCUACGGGAGGCAGCAGUGGGGAAUAUUGCACAAUGGGCGGAAGCCUGAUGCAGCAACGCCGCGUGCGGGAUGACGGCCUUCGGGUUGUAAACCGCUUUCGCCUGUGACGAAGCGUGAGUGACGGUAAUGGGUAAAGAAGCACCGGCUAACUACGUG